UACGUAGGGCGCAAGCGUUAUCCGGAAUUAUUGGGCGUAAAGAGCUCGUAGGCGGUUUGUCGCGUCUGCCGUGAAAGUCCGGGGCUUAGCCCCGGAUCUGCGGUGGGUACGGGCAGACUAGAGUGCAGUAGGGGAGACUGGAAUUCCUGGUGUAGCGGUGAAAUGCGCAGAUAUCAGGAGGAACACCGAUGGCGAAGGCAGGUCUCUGGGCUGUAACUGACGCUGAGGAGCGAAAGCAUGGGGAGCGAACAGG
Molecule: ribosomal RNA, 253 nt
Filed under: uncultured bacterium
Lineage: Bacteria
Description: partial 16S ribosomal RNA
Rfam family: Bacterial small subunit ribosomal RNA
Source: RNAcentral